This 245-nucleotide ribosomal RNA is filed under the name uncultured bacterium. RNAcentral describes it as "partial 16S ribosomal RNA". It matches the Rfam family "Bacterial small subunit ribosomal RNA", at positions 528 to 772 of the family's 1533-position model. The record is from RNAcentral.
UAGGGGGCAAGCGUUAUCCGGAAUUACUGGGUGUAAAGGGAGCGCAGACGGUCAUGCAAGUCUGGAGUGAAAGGCGGGGGCCCAACCCCCGGCCUGCUCUGGAAACUGUGAGACUGGAGUGCAGGAGAGGCAGGCGGAAUUCCUGGUGUAGCGGUGAAAUGCGUAGAUAUCAGGAGGAACACCGGUGGCGAAGGCGGCCUGCUGGACUGUAACUGACGUUGAGGCUCGAAAGCGUGGGGAGCAAA